UCAUAUAAAAUCGCUCAAAGAAGAUUUACCUCAAAUACAUUUUGAUUAUUUUGCUGACCAAAUAGAUCUAGAUAUAAUGUGUAAAUUUAUAGUUUUGGCAUUUAUCUUAGCUGUGAUGUUAGUGUCCAGCAUACAUACUGCAGCUGUUAGUGAAAAUUUAGAUGGGGAGGCUUAUGGUUUACAUCGAGCGAAAAGAUCGGCAUGUAAUCUUCCUGACUGGGAAAUAAAAGGAUUUAAACUCAGCGAAGGACUUUGUGGGCUUAAAUGUUACAUUUUUAAGAAAAAAAGCGGUUACUGUAGCCUGAAUAAUACAUGUGUAUGUUACUAGAUAUUUGUUAAUUAGUACCAUGAAUAUAUUUUCUAUAUUUUUUUAUAAAUACAUAUUAUGAUAGUA
Molecule: long non-coding RNA, 394 nt
Organism: Sitophilus oryzae (rice weevil)
Lineage: Eukaryota; Metazoa; Arthropoda; Insecta; Coleoptera; Curculionidae
Exons: 2
Source: RefSeq, a predicted model, not a curated record